Carlito syrichta (Philippine tarsier) is the source of this 601-nucleotide RNA transcript. It is a transcript of the gene named 60S ribosomal protein L11-like, with no coding region annotated. The record is from RefSeq and is a predicted model, not a curated record. Lineage: Eukaryota; Metazoa; Chordata; Mammalia; Primates; Tarsiidae. The transcript has a single exon.
CCGCUUUCUCUUCCUCUUCUCCAUCAUGGUGCAGGAUCAAGGUGAAAAGGAGAACUCCAUGCAGGAACUUCGCAUUUGCAAGCUCUGCCUCAACAUCUGUGUGGGGAAGACUGGAGACAGACUGACCCGGGCAGCCAAGGUCUUGGAGCAGCUCACAGGCCGGACUCCUGUGUUUUCCAGAGCUAGAUACACUGUCAGAUCCUUUGGCAUCAGGAGAAAUGAAAAGAUUGCCGCCCACUACACAGUUCGAGGGGCCAAGGCAGAAGAAAUCCUGGAGAAAGGGCUGAAACUGCAGGAGUAUGAACUAAGAAAAAAUAGCUUCUCAGAUAUUGGAAACUUUGGUUUGGGCAUCCGGGAACACAUAGAUCUGGAUAUUAAAUAUGACCCAAGCAUUGGUAUCUACAGCCUGGACUUCGAUGUAGUGCUGGGUUGGCCAGGUUUCAGCAUUGCCGACAGAAACACAGAACAGGCUGCACUGGGGCCAAACACAGAAUCAGCAAAGAGGAGGCCAUGUGCUGGUUCCAGCAGAAGGAUAAUGGGAUCAUCCUUCCCGGCAAAUAAAUUCCCAUUUCUAUUCAAAAGGCCAAUAAAAAGUUUUCAG